This 377-nucleotide ribosomal RNA is filed under the name uncultured bacterium. RNAcentral's name for it is "bacterial SSU rRNA". It matches the Rfam family "Bacterial small subunit ribosomal RNA", at positions 521 to 896 of the family's 1533-position model. The record is from RNAcentral.
UAAUACGUAGGGAGCAAGCGUUGUCCGGAAUCAUUGGGCGUAAAGCGCGCGUAGGCGGCCCUGUAAGUCCGCUCUGAAAGUCAAAGGCUCAACCUUUGAAAGCGGGUGGAUACUGCAGGGCUAGAGUCCGGAAGAGGCGGGUGGAAUUCCUGGUGUAGCGGUGGAAUGCGCAGAUAUCAGGAGGAACACCAACGGCGAAGGCAGCCCGCUGGGACGGUACUGACGCUGAGGCGCGAAAGCGUGGGGAGCGAACAGGAUUAGAUACCCUGGUAGUCCACGCCGUAAACGAUGGGAACUAGGUGUGGGAGGUGUCGACUCCUCCCGUGCCGGCGCUAACGCAUUAAGUUCCCCGCCUGGGGAGUACGGCCGCAAGGCUA